This 346-nucleotide ribosomal RNA is filed under the name uncultured bacterium. RNAcentral describes it as "partial 16S ribosomal RNA". It matches the Rfam family "Bacterial small subunit ribosomal RNA", at positions 338 to 681 of the family's 1533-position model. The record is from RNAcentral.
CCUACGGGUGGCAGCAGUGAGGAAUAUUGGUCAAUGGGCGCGAGCCUGAACCAGCCAAGUAGCGUGAAGGAUGACUGCCCUACGGGUUGUAAACUUCUUGUAUAAAGGAAGAAAGUGAGGCACGUGUGCCGUGUUGUAUGUACUUUAUGAAUAAGGAUCGGCUAACUCCGUGCCAGCAGCCGCGGUAAUACGGCGGAUCCGAGCGUUAUCCGGAUUUAUUGGGUUUAAAGGGAGCGUAGAGGGGUUUUUAAGGCAGUUGUGAAAGUUUGCGGCUCAACCGUAAAAUUGCCAUUGAUACGGGCAGCCUUGUGUACAGUUGCGUUAGGCGGCAUUCGUUGUGUAGCGG